GGAAUAUUGGUCAAUGGACGAGAGUCUGAACCAGCCAAGUAGCGUGCAGGAUGACGGCCCUAUGGGUUGUAAACUGCUUUUAUGCGGGGAUAAAGUGCGCCACGUGUGGCGUUUUGUAGGUACCGCAUGAAUAAGGACCGGCUAAUUCCGUGCCAGCAGCCGCGGUAAUACGGAAGGUCCGGGCGUUAUCCGGAUUUAUUGGGUUUAAAGGGAGCGCAGGCGGAAGGUUAAGCGUGACGUGAAAUGUACCGGCUCAACCGGUGAUGUGCGUCGCGAACUGGCUUUCUUGAGUGCGUACGAGGAAGGCGGAAUUCGUGGUGUAGCGGUGAAAUGCUUAGAUAUCACGAAGAACUCCGAUUGCGAAGGCAGCCCACAAGGCCUUUACUGACGCUAAAGCUCGAAGGUGCGGGUAUCGAACA
Molecule: ribosomal RNA, 419 nt
Filed under: uncultured Prevotella sp.
Lineage: Bacteria; Pseudomonadati; Bacteroidota; Bacteroidia; Bacteroidales; Prevotellaceae
Description: bacterial SSU rRNA
Rfam family: Bacterial small subunit ribosomal RNA
Source: RNAcentral